GACGAACGCUGGCGGCGUGCCUAACACAUGCAAGUCGAGCGGAGAUAAGCGGAAGGUAACUGAAGCUUAUCUUAGCGGCGGACGGGUGAGUAACACGUGGGCAACCUGCCUUGAAGUGGGGGAUAACACCGGGAAAUCGGUGCUAAUACCGCAUAACAUACACAAACUGCAUGGUAAGUGUAUCAAAGGAGCAAUCCGCUUUAAGAUGGGCCCGCGGCUGAUUAGCUAGUUGGUAAGGUAACGGCUUACCAAGGCGACGAUCAGUAGCCGACCUGAGAGGGUGACCGGCCACACUGGAACUGAGACACGGUCCAGACUCCUACGGGAGGCAGCAGUGGGGAAUAUUGCGCAAUGGGCGAAAGCCUGAUGCAGCGACGCCGCGUGAGCGAAGAAGGCCUCGGUUGUAAGCUCUGUCUGGAGGGACGGAACGAAAAUAGACGGUAACCGUCCCGGACGGAAGCCGACCGGCUAACUAACGUGCCAGCAGCCGCGGUAAACGUACGUACU
Molecule: ribosomal RNA, 507 nt
Filed under: uncultured bacterium
Lineage: Bacteria
Description: bacterial SSU rRNA
Rfam family: Bacterial small subunit ribosomal RNA
Source: RNAcentral